UACAGAGGGGGCAAGCGUUGUUCGGAAUUACUGGGCGUAAAGGGCGCGUAGGCGGCUUCGCAAGUGGUGGGUGAAAUCCCUCGGCUUAACCGAGGAACUGCCCUCCAAACUGCGUUGCUUGAGUCCGGGAGAGGUGAGUGGAAUUCCCAGUGUAGCGGUGAAAUGCGUAGAUAUUGGGAGGAACACCAGUGGCGAAGGCGGCUCACUGGACCGGAACUGACGCUGAGGCGCGAAAGCGUGGGGAGCAAACAGG
RNAcentral lists this ribosomal RNA (253 nucleotides) under uncultured bacterium. Its description in RNAcentral is "partial 16S ribosomal RNA". It matches the Rfam family "Bacterial small subunit ribosomal RNA", at positions 524 to 776 of the family's 1533-position model. The record is from RNAcentral.